This 503-nucleotide ribosomal RNA is filed under the name uncultured bacterium. RNAcentral's name for it is "bacterial SSU rRNA". It matches the Rfam family "Bacterial small subunit ribosomal RNA", at positions 29 to 513 of the family's 1533-position model. The record is from RNAcentral.
AACGAACGCUGGCGGCGCGCCUAACACAUGCAAGUCGAACGCGAAAGGGGGCAACCCUGAGUAAAGUGGCGCACGGGUGAGUAAUACCUAGGUAAUCUACCUUAUUGACCGGAAUAACCAGUCGAAAGAUUGGCUAAUACUGGAUAGAGCGAUUAAGCGAGAGUUUAGUUGGGAAAGGGUGGCUUGGGCAACCAAGCUAUUGCGAUGAGAUGAGCCCACGUCCGAUUAGCUAGUUGGUAGGGUAAAGGCCUACCAAGGCCACGACCGGUAGCUGGUCUGAGAGGAUGAUCAGCCACACUGGGACUGAGACACGGCCCAGACUCCUACGGGAGGCAGCAGUGGGGGAAUAUUGGACAAUGGGCGCAAGCCUGAUCCAGCAAUGCCGCGUGUGUGAAGAAGGCCUGCGGGUUGUAAAGCACUUUCAGUGGGGAGACAGGUUCGGUCAAUACCCCGGAGCCCUGACGUUACCCACAGAAGAAGCACCGGCUAACUCCGUGCCAGCA